This 253-nucleotide non-coding RNA is filed under the name Planctomycetaceae bacterium. Its description in RNAcentral is "partial 16S ribosomal RNA". It matches the Rfam family "Bacterial small subunit ribosomal RNA", at positions 524 to 776 of the family's 1533-position model. The record is from RNAcentral. RNAcentral also lists the same sequence under 2 other names. Lineage: Bacteria; Pseudomonadati; Planctomycetota; Planctomycetia; Planctomycetales; Planctomycetaceae.
UACGAACUGUGCGAACGUUAUUCGGAAUCACUGGGCUUAAAGGGUGCGUAGGCGGCUUGUUAAGUCAGGUGUGAAAUCCCCCGGCUCAACCGGGGAACAGCGCUUGAAACUAGCAGGCUGGAGUGAGGCAGGGGUGUGCGGAACUUCCAGUGGAGCGGUGAAAUGUGUAGAUAUUGGAAGGAACGCCGGCGGCGAAAGCGGCACACUGGGCCUUGUCUGACGCUGAGGCACGAAAGCCAGGGGAGUGAACGGG